AAAGGUAUAGCUCAAGUGGUAGAGCGCAUGUUUAGCGUUAACGAGGUCCUGGGUUCAAUUCCCAGUAUCUCCU
Molecule: transfer RNA, 73 nt
Filed under: Camelus bactrianus (Bactrian camel)
Lineage: Eukaryota; Metazoa; Chordata; Mammalia; Artiodactyla; Camelidae
Also listed under: 2 other names
Rfam family: tRNA
About the family: Transfer RNA (tRNA) molecules are approximately 80 nucleotides in length.
Source: Rfam by way of RNAcentral